RNAcentral lists this ribosomal RNA (2034 nucleotides) under Triticum aestivum (bread wheat). RNAcentral describes it as "partial small subunit ribosomal RNA". Lineage: Eukaryota; Viridiplantae; Streptophyta; Magnoliopsida; Poales; Poaceae. The record is from RNAcentral.
AUGCCGCGGAAUCAGACCGCCGGCACGGCCUCCGGUGGAGUGCGGUCGCCGCCGAAUCAAGUCGGGGUUCGGGCGCCCUUGUCGGUGGUGCCGCCGCCGAAUCAAGUCGCCAAUUGGACCGCCGGCACGGUCUCCGGUGGACAAGCCCUGCCGAAGCAAGUCAGGAAUCGGACGCCCCCUCCGCCGCCCAAGGGUCAGACGGUCGGCGCGGCCUCCGGUGGAGUGGUGCUGCCCAAGCAAGUUGGGAAUCGGACUCCCGUCUCGCUCCCUCCGUCACCGAACCAAGUCCGAAAUCGGAGGCUCAGUUCCCUCUCCGCUGGAGAGGUGUCGCCGAGGCAAGUUGGGAAUCGGUCGCCCUUGUCGGUCCAGCUGCUGCCGAAGCAACGCAAGGAUCAUCAGACGGUCUCCACUCUCUCCCAUGUAGAGGUGCUGCCGAAGCAAGUCGGGAAUCAGACGCCCUCGUCGGUGCUGCCGAAGCAAGUCGGGAAUCAUAGGCCCUCGUCGGUGCUGCCGAAGCAAGUCGGGAAUCAGACACCCUCGUCGGUGCUGCCGCCGCUAAAGCAACACAGGGUUCAGACGGUCGGCGGCACGCUCUCCCAUGGAAAGGUGCUGCCGAAGCAAGUCAGGAAUCGGACGCCCUCAUCGGUGCUGCAUCACACGAAGCAACACAGGGGUCAGACUGUCGGCGGCACGGUAUCUGGUGCAAAGGUGCUGCAGAAGCAAGUCGGGAAGCAGACACCCUCGUCAGUGCAGCACAGGGGUCAAACCGUCGGCACGGCUUCCGGUGGAGAGGUGCUGCGGAAGCAAGUCAGGAAUUGGACGGCGGUGCUGCCACCGCUGAAGCAACACAGGGAUCAGACAGUCGGCAUGGUCUCUGGUGGAGAAUCCUCACUCCACACCCCACAACAAGGCAGACCAGCCGGUUCCUCAAAAUCUAGUGCAUGUGCCACUCUCCGCGGCAACACUAGUUUGCAUGCUCGUAAGCCAUCUGCAGCCACCAACAAAAUUAUUGAUCAAGCUAAGUCAAAGAAGAACAAGGAACUAGAAGAAGCAGAGGACGAAAUCCGAAGGCUGAACAAAUUGGGCCUGGGAGACGAUAUCAGCAACGAAGAGUAUCGUGCUUAUCUCAAACAGCUGCCUGACAAGCCUUAUGUCAAUAUUUCCACUAAGCUGGAUGCUGUGCAGCUGAAAGAGCUCAAUGCUCGCCAUGAAAUGUAUCGCAUCAAAUAUUAUCAGCUGUCACAACACGUGCCUGAGGAUAAGCUUUGCUAUGAUAAACUGAAGGAGGACUACCCACCUGGCCAUCGUCCUGUGGGGCAGAGAUCUUUUAAGUGCUCUGAGGAAGAUGGCGAAUUAGAUUGGUCUUUCCACCCUGACUACUGUAAACUUGCUGGCCUGGAGGACUACCAACGGCUGGUCCCUCGAAAUUAUGGUGGUUUUGAGUAUGUCAAUUGGGAUGAGUACCACAUGGAUUGUCAUAGCUAUGAGAUUGAACAAGAAUAUGUUAAAUUUUGUGAAGAAUUGUCGAAGAAACUUAAGUGGGGAAAGAUUUUGACCAGAGGAACUUACCAAGCAAUCAAGAUCGCUACUGACUUCUCGGAGAUAUAUGGGGGCUUAGCCUUUUCUGGCUUCUACGAGUGGUUAGAUAGCAUGGGUUUUGAUGUAUGUUGCUACAACGAGUUUGAUGGUCUAUAUUACGAGAUUUGGCAAAGGUACACGAUGGAGAAGAAAUUCAGGGAUGCUUUGUAUGAAGUCUAUGAACUUAACAUGUUCCCGUUACGCCAAGAAAGAAUGAGACGUGCACUGCAGAAUGACACAUUCUGCUCUGACUUGGAAGAGGAGUUUCUUGCUUGCACAGCUUGCCUCGAGGAAUUUGCAGAGGACAAAAGCAAGAUUUCAGAGGAUAAAGCCCGGGAGUUGAUCGCAGAGGCACUUAGAAAGGAGACGCAGAAACCGAAGUUCUAUGAGGAUUAUUGUAGGAAGAAGCUAGAUAUUGCUCAAGCUAUUGGGUUAAUUCCCAGUGUACCGUCUUAA